GGGAAGGUGGCUCAGUGGUAGGGCGCUUGCCUGGCAUGCAUGAGGCCCUGGGUUCCAUUCCUCAGCCCCA
RNAcentral lists this transfer RNA (70 nucleotides) under Dipodomys ordii (Ord's kangaroo rat). It matches the Rfam family "tRNA". From Rfam's summary of the family: Transfer RNA (tRNA) molecules are approximately 80 nucleotides in length. The record is from Rfam by way of RNAcentral. Lineage: Eukaryota; Metazoa; Chordata; Mammalia; Rodentia; Heteromyidae.